RNAcentral lists this ribosomal RNA (442 nucleotides) under grassland soil clone saf3_001. RNAcentral's name for it is "bacterial SSU rRNA". It matches the Rfam family "Bacterial small subunit ribosomal RNA", at positions 50 to 490 of the family's 1533-position model. The record is from RNAcentral.
AACACAUGCAAGUCGAACGGUGAAGGAGAGCUUGCUCUUUGGAUCAGUGGCGAACGGGUGAGUAACACGUGAGCAAUCUGCCCCUGACUCUGGGAUAAGCGUUGGAAACGACGUCUAAUACUGGAUACGAGCUGCGACCGCAUGGUCAGCAGUUGGAAAGAUUUUUCGGUCAGGGAUGAGCUCGCGGCCUAUCAGCUUGUUGGUGAGGUAAUGGCUCACCAAGGCGUCGACGGGUAGCCGGCCUGAGAGGGUGACCGGCCACACUGGGACUGAGACACGGCCCAGACUCCUACGGGAGGCAGCAGUGGGGAAUAUUGCACAAUGGGCGGAAGCCUGAUCCAGCAACGCCGCGUGAGGGAUGACGGCCUUCGGGUUGUAAACCUCUUUCGCCUGUGACGAAGCCCUUGGUUUUUGUUGGGGGUGACGGUAGUGGGUAAAGAAG